AUUCGCUGUUAUGCAUAAAAAUGGAACAUGGGUUAAGCACAGUGGGAAAAUCAUAAAGAAGCUAAAAGGUCACUAAGACCCUUUAAAAUUCACAUAAAGUUAUCAGCUAGGUUGCAGCUCUGAGGUCAGCACUGCCUAUGUCCCUGGCAAGAAGCAAAAGCACUGAAGUUAUCUCACUGAUUUGGGAUUAAAGCUGGAUGCCUGAAGCAAUUGUUGUGUUCGUUGAAUAAAUGUGCUUAGACAUUUAUUCACUGUUUUUAAGUAUUAGCAGUUUAGUAGCUUGCGCCUCUUUCCCCUAGAGUUAGUCACUCCCAAAGAAUGUAAAUCUGGCAGAGCUGAACUCUGCAGCAGGGAAAACGAAACCCUGGAGACGGGAAUCUUCAUUAAAACAGUUAUUUAUUAACCCUGCUUAGCUGUGGGUUUUUUAUGUUAAUCAAGACACGCAAUGACUAAAUUAAGUGCCAGGCAGAACAAUAGGAUGAGUAUUGUCAUGGCUAACUGCUCAACCUGCAGUGCAACGGUAAGGUAGAAACGUUUACCUUCUGUUGUCCUUCCCUGCAUGCACUUACUCUCUGCCGUUUAUUCUCUGCUGAGAUUUUCCAUAGCUAGAGCCUGGAUAAAAACCUAUAAACCCCCAGGACGUUUCUUUCGGUAGACACCUGCUGGCUUUUACUCCAAACUGCAUCAAUUGAGAACAGGUACCUGACAGAUUACCUUGCACUGAACACACGGUGUGACCUCUGGAGGAUAAAAUAUCACCAGGAACACUGGACACCUAAGAUUGUAAGGGCAUGACAUGGCACCCAUCAGAUUGGAGACAGAACGGGGAUAAUCUCCAGAAUGAGAGAAAGAAAGAAAAAUCCACCCAGAAGGAACAAUGACAGAGGAUUCUUCCACAUAUGCAAACACAAAGAGGUCGCUCUGAGAAGACAUCAAGAGCCCCUUUAGAAGAGUGGGAUGUGCUUUGAGCAAUACGUGUUGCUCCUAUCAGGACCCUUGGGGUCUGAUCC
This is a long non-coding RNA of Pezoporus occidentalis (night parrot), 1010 nucleotides long. RefSeq lists it as uncharacterized. NCBI's taxonomy places the organism in Eukaryota, Metazoa, Chordata, Aves, Psittaciformes, Psittacidae. The transcript has 4 exons. The record is from RefSeq and is a predicted model, not a curated record.